GAAGUGCGAUAAGCAAUGCGAAUUGCAGAAUUCCGCGAGUCAUCAGAUCUUUGAACGCAAAUGGCGCCGGAGGGAUAUCCUUCUGGCAUGUCUGUUUCAGUGUCUGAGAGGUUUCACCAACAUCUUAAUGUGAUUGACAGCAGCAGCAGCAGCAAGCAAUUGUUGUGGUUGGUGUUGUCUCUCAUGAAAGAUGCGCGAGUGGAUCUUUCGGUCCAAUGAAGUGGUCACAUCACUCGUAUGUGAUUUCAUUGGGAGCACCGAAUUAUCCGCCAUGCUCGCGGUGUCAUCAUAUAAUAUAUGACGAAAGCAAGAAAGAAAGAAAGAGCUUCUUUCUUCUUCCUCUUCUUUGGUUGUAUUUUUUUUCUCUCUCUACACCCUGCAUCUGAGAUAGGCAAGAUCACCCGCUGAACUUAAGC
This 416-nucleotide unclassified non-coding RNA is filed under the name plant metagenome. RNAcentral describes it as "partial contains 5.8S ribosomal RNA, internal transcribed spacer 2, and large subunit ribosomal RNA". The stretch from base 1 to 105 matches the Rfam family "5.8S ribosomal RNA", at positions 50 to 154 of the family's 154-position model. The record is from RNAcentral.